RNAcentral lists this ribosomal RNA (348 nucleotides) under uncultured bacterium. RNAcentral's name for it is "bacterial SSU rRNA". It matches the Rfam family "Bacterial small subunit ribosomal RNA", at positions 29 to 367 of the family's 1533-position model. The record is from RNAcentral.
AACGAACGCUGGCGGCGCGCCUAAUACAUGCAAGUCGAACGAGAAGCUGUAGCAAUGCAGUUGUACAGUGGCGAACGGGUGAGGAAUACAUGGGUGACCUACCCUCGAGUGGGAAUAACCAGCCGAAAGGUUGGCUAAUACCGCGUACGCUUCCCAGUCUACGGGUUGGAAGGAAAGCGAUGCCGUGGGUAUCGCGCUCAAGGUUGGGCUCAUGUCCUAUCAGCNGUUGGUGGGGUAACGGCUCACCAAGGCAACGACGGGUAGNUCCCGGUNUGAGAGGACGAUCAGCCACACUGGCACUGCGACACGGGCCAGACUCCUACGGGAGGCAGCAGUAAGGAAUAUUGC